This 440-nucleotide ribosomal RNA is filed under the name uncultured bacterium. RNAcentral's name for it is "partial 16S ribosomal RNA". It matches the Rfam family "Bacterial small subunit ribosomal RNA", at positions 338 to 795 of the family's 1533-position model. The record is from RNAcentral.
CCUACGGGAGGCAGCAGUGGGGAAUAUUGCACAAUGGGGGAAACCCUGAUGCAGCGACGCCGCGUGAGUGAAGAAGUAAUUCGUUAUGUAAAGCUCUAUCAGCAGGGAAGAAAAUUACGGUACCUGAGUAAUAAGCCCCGGCUAACUACGUGCCAGCCGCCGCGGUAACACGUAGGGGGCAAGCGUUAUCCGGAUUUACUGGGUGUAAAGGGAGCGUAGCCGGCAGUGCAAGUCUGGAGUGAAAGGCGGGGGCUCAACCCCCGGACUGCUCUGGAAACUGUACGGCUGGAGUGCAGGGGAGGUAAGUGGAAUUCCUGGUGUAGCGGUGAAAUGCGUAGAUAUUAGGAGGAACAUCAGUGGCGAAGGCAGCUUACUGGACUGUAACUGACGUUGAGGCUCGAAAGCGUGGGGAGCGAACAGGAUUAGAUACCCUAGUAGUC